UAUCAAUAUUUCAUGAUUCAGCCUAUAAC
Molecule: non-coding RNA, 29 nt
Filed under: Rattus norvegicus (Norway rat)
Lineage: Eukaryota; Metazoa; Chordata; Mammalia; Rodentia; Muridae
Source: RNAcentral